UACGUAGGGCGCAAGCGUUGUCCGGAAUUAUUGGGCGUAAAGAGCUCGUAGGCGGUUUGUCGCGUCUGUCGUGAAAGCUUGGGGCUUAACCCCAAGUCUGCGGUGGAUACGGGCAGACUAGAGUGAUGUAGGGGAGACUGGAAUUCCUGGUGUAGCGGUGAAAUGCGUAGAUAUCUGGAGGAACACCGGUGGCGAAGGCGGCAUCCUGGACCGACACUGACGCUGAGGAGCGAAAGCCAGGGGAGCAAACGGG
Molecule: ribosomal RNA, 253 nt
Filed under: uncultured bacterium
Lineage: Bacteria
Description: partial 16S ribosomal RNA
Rfam family: Bacterial small subunit ribosomal RNA
Source: RNAcentral